This 1375-nucleotide ribosomal RNA is filed under the name Acicnemis meriones. RNAcentral describes it as "partial 16S ribosomal RNA". Lineage: Eukaryota; Metazoa; Arthropoda; Insecta; Coleoptera; Curculionidae. The record is from RNAcentral.
CUCUUGAAAAUUAGAAAUGUUGGCGGUAUUUUAGUCUAAUGAGAGGAACCUGUCCUGUAAUUGAUGAUCCACAAUUUAAUUUAUUUAUUUUUUAAGUUUGUAUAUCGUUGUAGGUUGAAUAUUUUUAAAGAAUGUAAAUAUUCAAGAUUUUUAAUGAUAAAAAAUCAAAUCAAGGUAUAGCUAAUAAAUAAGAAGAGAUGGGUUACAAUAAAUUUAUUUAAAUGGAUAAAAUUUUGUAAAAAUUUUUGAAAGUGGAUUUGAAGGUAAUUUUAUUUAAAUUUUUAAAAUGAUUUUAGCUCUAAAAUAUGUACAUAUCGCCCGUCGCUUUCAUUUUAAAAUGAAAUAAGUCGUAACAUAGUAGAUGUACUGGAAAGUGUAUCUAGGAUACAAAUUAAAGCUUUGAUGAAGUUUUUUAGUUACAUUAAAAAGAGUAUUUUAAAAUAUAAUUUGAAAAAUUAGUAUUAUAUAUAUAUAUAUAUAUAUAUAUAUAUAAUUUGUUUAAAAAAAUAUUUAAUUUUUAAUUAGUAUGAAAAAAUAAUUUUUAUGAUAGGGAAAUAGUAUUGUAAAAGAAUAAAAAUUUUUAUAAAAAAAAAAUAUAUUCUUUGUACCCGGGGUGUCAGGGUUUAUCAAUAAAAUUUUAAUAAAUUUAAAUUUCYCRAAUUUUAAAAGAGUUAUAAGUUUAUAAUUUUUAUUGUGGCAUAAAUAUUAUAAAUAAACUUAUAGAGGUGAAAUGUUAUACGAUUUUAAAUAUAUCUAGUUUUUAAAGAAAAUAAUUUAAUUAUAUUUUUAUAUAAUAUUUAUAUAUAUAUAUAUAUAUAAAUAUUAUUAAAAUUAAAUAUUUUAAGGGAUGAGCUUUAAAAUAAAUUUAUAUAAUAAGUUAAAUGGUUAUUUAAAUAAAUAAGAUUAUAAGUUUUUAUUUUUAUUGUGUGUUAUUACUAAUUUAAAUUUUAAAUAAGAUUUUUAUUUUAUUUAUUUUUUUUAUUUAAAAAUAAAUAUGAAUAUUGAAUAUUUAAGUAUAAUGAUAAAAUUAGUAUAAGAAUUUAUUUUGAUAAUAUAAAUUAGUAAGGUUAAUUAAAGGAACUCGGCAAAUUUGUUUUUCACCUGUUUAUUAAAAACAUGGCUUUUUGAUAAUAAUUUAAGGUCUAACCUGCCCAAUGAGUAGUUAAAUGGCCGCAGUAUCUUGACUGUGCAAAGGUAGCAUAAUCAUUUGUUUCUUAAUUAGAAGCUUGUAUGAAAGGUUGAAUGAGAAAAUAACUGUCUCUAUUUAAAUUUAUUAGAAUUUUAUUUUUAAGUAAAAAAGCUUAAAUAUUGAUAGAAGACGAGAAGACCCUAUAGAGUUUUACAUUUAAAGUAAAGAUAAAUUUUUAGAAUUUAU